RNAcentral lists this ribosomal RNA (41 nucleotides) under Balanophora fungosa. Its description in RNAcentral is "partial 28S ribosomal RNA". The record is from RNAcentral. Lineage: Eukaryota; Viridiplantae; Streptophyta; Magnoliopsida; Santalales; Balanophoraceae.
UGACCCCAACUUAAGCAAGAUUACCCGCUGAAUUUAAGCAU